GCUUGCACUUUAUAGAACUUGAUUUUACAGGAUAACGAGGAGAGGGGAGUAUCGAAAAUUCGGCGGAUGCCCCUCCGCGGCCGCAGACACGUGACGGGUUCUACAAAUACGGGGGAGACCCCGGAACAGAAGG
RNAcentral lists this non-coding RNA (133 nucleotides) under uncultured Dysosmobacter sp. RNAcentral's name for it is "glmS glucosamine-6-phosphate activated ribozyme". It matches the Rfam family "glmS glucosamine-6-phosphate activated ribozyme aptamer". From Rfam's summary of the family: This entry contains a glucosamine-6-phosphate activated ribozyme that is found in the mRNA for GlmS. GlmS is an enzyme that uses fructose-6-phosphate and glutamine to generate glucosamine-6-phosphate. The record is from RNAcentral. Lineage: Bacteria; Bacillati; Bacillota; Clostridia; Eubacteriales; Oscillospiraceae.